Podarcis lilfordi (Lilford's wall lizard) is the source of this 79-nucleotide non-coding RNA. NCBI's taxonomy places the organism in Eukaryota, Metazoa, Chordata, Lepidosauria, Squamata, Lacertidae. The record is from the annotation of a GenBank genome assembly.
GUACUGGAUAGCUCAGUUGGUUAAGAGUGUGGUGCUAAUAACACCAAGGUUGCAGGUUCAAUCCCCAUACAGUGGUACC